Non-coding RNA from Tetranychus urticae (two-spotted spider mite), 4590 nucleotides. NCBI's taxonomy places the organism in Eukaryota, Metazoa, Arthropoda, Arachnida, Trombidiformes, Tetranychidae. The record is from RefSeq and is a predicted model, not a curated record.
GACUCAUUAAUUGAUUCAGUUAAUUAGCAACUCUUUCUUAUUUUCCCAUUAGUGUAGUUAAUUGAAACCAUUUGUCAUCGUUUCCAGUAAUUCUCCUAAUUUGUUAAUGUUUCUAUUUAACCGUUUCCAUUUUUAAAAUGACCAUUGAAUGAAUUGAUAAAAUCUUCUGAUGAAAUUUGCUUGAUGAACCUUUUCAUUUCAAGUAUCAUUCAAGUUAAGUGUUAUUUUUAAUCAUGAAGAAUUGAAAUUUUUACAUUUUGUUUUACAUUUAAAUUUAAUGAUUACAGUUAAUUAAUCAUUAAUCCUACAAUUACAAGAUAAAAAUAGCCAUCAGCUUUCCAGAUCAAUAGCUAAUAUUUAGAUACACCAUUGAAUGUGAAUUAUGAUUAAGUUAAGAUUUUGUUAUUAAGAAUAGCUAUCAAAAGGAAAAACAUCUUCAAUCAUUACAAGGUCUUAUAGCUGAGCCUGGAUGAUUGUAAAUUGGUGGACUUGAGGCAACCAGCAGUGUAAAUGUAUUUACCUAGAAGAGAUUGGUGUUAAGCUGUAACGAAUUACAUUUGAUUGUUAAAUUGGAUCGUCUGGACACGACUUUACAUUAGGUAAAGUCAAUAUUAACCUGAACAAACAAAAUCUAAAAUUGGACUUGUAGCCAUAUCCAGCCAAGCACCAUAUCAUUUCAAGGAAAACUUGAAACUGGACAUUGUUGAUUCUCAUUAAACUGAAAUUACCACCAACCAGGAAUGAGCUGAAAAAACAAUUUAACUUGUUUCUUUUCCCAUGAAUAUGAGCAAGGUGAAAAAGAAGGGGAAAAGUCAGCGAGUUAAUUGUUAUUACUGUCCAUUACAAUGGUUUAGCACCGUUUUCAACGGAUUAGCAAACUCGCCUGUUAACUGGUUUACAUUCAUACUCACCAUUAUACCUGGUUACAUUACUUCGGCCAUUCAACAAGCUCACACCUUUUUGGUUUCAAUUGUAAUCCAGUUAGUGAAUUAUUGUGGUUUUUUUGACCAGAAAAGGACUCAUUAAGACCACCAAUUUGAGCCAAUUCUGCUAUAAGAAGAAGCAGAAAGCGUAUAAAAAGGUGAUUUUAACCUUUUCUUGCAUUUCAAUGUCUUCAAUUAUCAGCCAGAAAAAUGUGUGUCAGUAAAUUGAAUUGACCAUUGUGAUAACUGUUAGUUGAAAGUGUACAGUUAAUGGUCAACUCUUUCAAUUAAGCUUAAUUGUCGAAUUUUUCGGUUACCACAAAAUUUGGAUAUUUUUUCAUUCAACAUUAGGCAAGAAAUUGAAGGUAAAUUUGGCAAAUGAUUAACCACAUCAAUAUAAGAAGUUUUUUUUCCACCGCCAAUCGCAACAACAACAAAUUUAUUCCUUGGUUCCUUGAUUUUCGCAUAUUAAUCAAUGAGAAAAUGUAACUUAUUUGGAUAAACUUGGCUGAUUGAAAAAUGUAAACUAAAAUCGCAAUCUCCCGAGUAUUCAUUUUAUAUCAUCACUACCAUCAUCAUUCAUUAACUAUUUCAUCUCUACUUUGGGUGGUUAAACAAAGUGAAAUUGGUUUAAAUAAAAGGAUGAAAGGCUGCUAAAGGGAUGCAAAAAGGAUGCUGAUAAGUCAUAUCAUGGGUGAUGAAGGAGGAAGCAAAAAAAACAUGGAAAACACACAACAAAAAAUCAAAGCAUUUCUAAUAGAUGAUACAUCUUCAAUACAUUUGGUUGUUGUUUAUUAAUAUAUGGUUUCACCUUUAACCUACUCUCAAAGUCUUUAACCAUCUUGAUAAAGUAUAAAUGAGUGUAAGGUGAGAGAGGGGAACAGAAUCAUCACCUCACCAGAAUUAAUCGCUUGGGAAUCAUUCAUUGUAACUGUCAUUUUUUGUUGGUUCCUCUGGAUUCACACCAAUCAAGUAUUAUCAUCAUCAAGAUAUUUAAAGUAAAAGAGGAACAUCGUUAACAUUGUUUUCCUUCUUACCAACUUUGAUUUCAUUUUACUCAUCAUCAUCUCUCUUCUUCUCUUUUCAUUUCGUUAUUCAUUAACUUUUUCUCAUUUUUUCUCUUCCAUUUCUCACCCAUUUCGCAGGCAACUGGAUUGACUGUACAUAAAUCCAUUAUUAGCUAUCCAUCUGAUACUUUUCAAAUUGAACAACUAACACUAAAAAAUGAUGGACAUCAAUUGUUCUUUGAUUACUUUUGAUUGGUUUUCUUGUAACCCUUUUGUAGACUAGAUUCAUAUCUUUGAAACCAUCCAAGAUAAGGAGUAAAAAGAAGAAAGAUUAAGUAGCUUGAAGGAAACAGUGAAUGUGGCCUUUGAAUGUUUUGCCCUUAUUAUGGUCACUAUUUCAACAUAAAAUGAGUCCAAUUGAAGGGAAUUUUGAGUUUUUUUUAAUUUUGUGACAUGCAAAGCUUUCCAAAGCUGUUAAGGCUUGUAAAAUGAUGGAUCCAUACUCUGAAUUGAUGAGAAAGAAGAAAAAGGAAAAUGAAGAAAUUAUUUUUUUUCACAUGCUUAAUACGUAAUAACGUAUUACAAAUGAGAAUCUGAUUGUUUUGUAGCUAUUAUGAGCAAUGAUUGAAGUUAUCGAGCAAAGUUCCAAAGAUGGAGGAAUAAGCAAUGGUGGAUCCAUUUGUGGUGAAACAGAUAAGGUCAUCAUAAUAUUACAAAAAUGGCGUACAUGAAAGACAAGAUCGGAAUCUGGAAUAUUCAAUAUUCAACUUUCAACUGUGGAAUAUUGCGUGAGAAAAUUAAUGAUCUAACUAUGUCCAAUCAUGUGAACGGGCCCAGUAAAAAAAAGAUGAUCACUUGGAUACUAUUAUUUAUUUUAUGAAAAGGUAAACUAAUAACGUUUACCUGGAAUAUAUUGUGGGAAAAUCACGAGCCUUAUUUGUGUAUCCAUCAGAAGAAAAACGUAGCAAAAAGAAAGGCAAUGAUGAUGUUUUGUGGGCUAUCUUCCAAAAAAAGAGAGAGAGAGAUGAACACUAAAAACUUGUCCAAUGGUGGGAAAAUACCUUAACGCCUUAUGAAAUGGGAAGUUACAAAGAGAUGUUGAUUUUUUGCUGUUUUUUCUUGCUUCACUCUCCUUCUUUUCAAAUCAAGUAAUGUUAUUGUUAUUAUGUUAUACCUUUUCAUCAUCAUCUUUUAACCUUAUCAUUCAAAUUUACGUCUCUUCAUUUUUGCAUGUUUUCAUGUAUUGUAUUGUACUUAUCAUAUUAUUUGUCAGGCGUUAGAAGUCUUUAAAUUAUUAUCAAAAGAUGAUGAUGAGGUUGUGUGUUUGUGUGUUGUGUUGUGUUUUUAUCUUGGUUGAGGGAGGAGGAGAAGGAGGAUUUAAAAACAAAGCUAAACAAGAAAAAAAUGUUCAUCUUUUAUCUGACCAUUAUUACAGGUUAGUUUUUUACCAAAGAGGACAAGAUUUUGUGCUUUUCUGUCUCUGAUUGUUGUUGAAAAUUAAGUCUAACAAGUGGACCUCCUUGCAUGCCAACAGAAAUGGCUUUACAUCAUAAUCAUUCAAGUGUAUUUUUUGAUGGUAUCGAGGCUUAAAUCAUCAACAGGAGCUGUUCAAAUAACUAUAUGUAAAUUGAGUUAUUAAAUGUAUUAUUCACGUUUACUGGAAUCAUAAUAACUUCAAUCUGGUCUCAAAUAUUGAGUAAUUAAUUUGUAAAAUGCACUUAUUCUUGAAUUGUUCAUGAAUACGGUAAGACUAGAUUCAAUGGGGGGAAAUAUAAGCAACUCUUGUUUGAUUUGAUGAUGACGAUGAUGUUAAUGUUGGUAAUAAUAUUCAAGUUAAAGUAAAGGUUUAAGUUUUUGAUUUACUUUCUUCUUCUUUUGCCAAAUUUUUACUUCCUUUUCUUGCAAGUGUCUAAUGGGUUUCUCUGCUUUCUCUUACAGUUAAUAUCGAUUGGAAAGUGUAUUUCAAAGCUGUUUACUUUUACAAUGGAUCCAAGAUGAAUUUGGCGCAAAACUGGGCCAUCAAAUUGUCUCAUCGUUAAACGUCUCAGGAACAAAAAAAUGCUCUGAUCUUUUCUUUGGGGUUAAAUGUUAACGUUGAAGGUCCACAAAAUAUCUUGAGAUGUCAAGGCUGCAGAUGAAAAGACGCUUCUCUUACUUGCUCCAACGUCUUUAACAGUUUCUUUUGUUGUCCCAUUUGCUUGAAAGUCACAAAGAAAGAGCCUUUAAGGUCAAAAUUGAGUGAUAACAUGUUGACCUUUACCAAGACGAAAUAACAAGUAUUCAAAGCAGUGGCUUUUUUGUGUAAAAUUUUUCUCUUUUUUUUCUCUUGCUAAAGGCUGAUCUCUUUGCGCUGUUGAGAGGCCAAAAAUAAGGAACCAUUAUGGAUAGUGAAAGCGUAACACCUUUAACCUUAUUUUUCUUUGCCUGGUAACAUAGUGGUUGGCAGUUGAGUUUACAAGGUUGAUUAAAAUUUAAAUAAAAAAGGUCAAUGGUCACUAUGUGUGGGUUAACUUUCCAAAAAUAGACAAGUGAAGGUGCUGUUUGAAGAUGGUUGUUAAUGUGAAAAAUGGCAAGUCUGUGAAGCAUCUCAUUAGAUCGUAUUGUAACUCAAGCAAUCAAGUAUCAAGUCAAGCUCUGAUUAAAUAUUAACUCAUCAUUAA